This 2397-nucleotide long non-coding RNA is filed under the name Capsella grandiflora. RNAcentral's name for it is "long non-coding RNA (CGRA_LNC001233)". Lineage: Eukaryota; Viridiplantae; Streptophyta; Magnoliopsida; Brassicales; Brassicaceae. The record is from RNAcentral.
AGCUGCUGAGGAAUCUUACCGAAGAUCUGGUUUUGGCUCAGAUCCAACGUAAGUAUGCUCCUAGCGAACUUGACCUUGGAGAGAUCGAACUGAAACUUGUUUCUCGACAGAUCCACUUGUAUUGUUGUUUUGUUACGUCCGAAGAACAUCGAGCCAUCUCCGACGAAACUGUUUCCCGACAGAAACACCACGUUGAAGUCGUGUUUUGACAACGAUUCCGGUAUUUUUCCUGUAGUUUUUUUAAACCGGGAUUUAUCAAUAUUCAUUAACAAAACCUUAAUCUAGUUGAAAAUUAAUCCUAAUAAUAAAGUAAUUAAUAUAUUUUAAAAUCCUACUACUGUAUUUAACAUCAUUGAAGAUGUACUGUACUAUUAAAGAAGUGAAAAAAUGAUGGUUAUACCUGAGAGCCGAUUGUUAGACAAUUCGAGUCCAGGGACGUUGCCAACAAAAGAACCGAAAGAGUUUGGUAUAGAACCGGUUAGCUUGUUAUCGUUGACGUGAAUGGCUAAAAGCUUCGGCAUCUGUGAAAGUGAACCGGGAAUUGGACCGGUCAAUUGGUUCUCGGAAAGGCCCAAGUAGGUGAGGUUCUUGAGGUCGCUGAUGUUAUCAGGAAUGGGACCAGAGAAAUUGCUGUACUUAAAGAAGAGGGUGUCGAGGCUCCUGAGCUUGGUGACGGCUGGUGGGAUGUUUCCGGAGAAUUUUUUAGAGGAAAGGGUGAGGUAAGUGACACGACCGUAAGUGCAUUCGACGCCGCUCCAUCCGGUACAGCAAUCGGUUUGGGGAUUCCAAGAGGAGAGGAGGGGAUGGUUGUUCAGUGAUUUCUUGAUUUCAAGUAGAGCGCUUUUGUCAUUUGCGGUGCAGCUUUGAGAAGAUGGCAGAGAGAUGAAGAGGAUGGAGAAGAAGAUAGAGAGAUGAAGAAGAAGGAGCUUCAUUGUGAUGAUUUUGGUGUGGUUACUUUGGGCAUUGAUACAACUUAUUAGUGAUAUAUAUAAAUUUUACAUUCAUUCGAAAUAUAUAUAUAACAUAUAAUAAUGGAACACAGCUGUGUAAAAUGUUACUGGUUUUGUACAGUAUGGGUUCUCCACUUCACCUUAACGUACAAUAUUCUUUUCACAUAAUUAAUUCGUAUUGUAUUCUCUUUUGAGGUUUGUAGAUGCGGGGAACCAGUUUGAUUCGAUAUUCAAAAAUUUUGAACGUACGCUCGUCACUUCAGCAGACAAUUUCUAAAACCUUAUCUCUUCGUACGUAAUGUUUUGUUUAUUAGUUUUAUCGGAUGCUCAAAUAUGAAAAACGUGCUUACUCUAUAUCAAAAUUCAAAACUAUGACCUCAUAGUAUGAGGCAUAUAUGUCAUAAACCGCAUAAAUGUUAGACUUAGAAUUCUGAUAAUCUCAACACCAUUCUUACUUUUGUCUUACCAUUAAUUAAAUUUUAAACAAUAGACUUGGUUGGCGGUGAUAAUGAACAUAUAUUCAAUCAUCACAGAUCAAACAUAAUUAUUUUUUGCCUGCGCCAACAUCAAACUAAAUCUAACAAGCCUUAAGCGGUGUGCCACAAAGACAGAGGUUGUGAGAGAAAGCAGAUGGUUCAAAGGUCUGAAGGAGACCGCCACUUGGGAUUUUCCCGCAGAGAUGGUUGUAGCUCACGUUGAAAUGCUCUAGGCGCAGCUUACUCAACUCCCGUGGAAACUUGCCGAAGAUUCGGUUUUGGCUCAGGUCCAACGAAACUAUGCUUCUAGCGAACUUGACCUUGGAGAGAUCGAACUGAAAUAGGUUCCUCGAUAGAUCCACUCGUAUUGUUGUUUUGUUCCGUCCGAAGAACAUCGAACCAUCUCCCAUGAAACCAUUUCCCGACAGAUCCACUGCAUUGAAGUCGUAUUUGGACAACGAUUCUGGUACCUUUCCUGUAAAUGAAGCAAUAUUAUUGAUUUAUAAAUCUUGAUCCCAAAAUAAUCUAUAUCUUGAUUUAUAUAAAAGUCCUAAAGAUUUUCAUUUAAAAGUACGAUGCUAGUUCUAAGUUCUGACAUUAAAAAGGAUUUGACCAAAAAGUAUACUAUUCAAUUAAAGAAAUAGAAAAUGAUGGCUUUAUACCUGAGAGCUUAUUGUUAAACAAGUAGAGAUUAGGGACGUUGCCAACAAAUGAACCGAAAGAGUUUGGUAUAGAACCGGUUAGCUUGUUAUCGUUGAUCUGAAUGGCUUGAAGCUUCGGCAUCUGAGAAAGCGAACCGGGGAUUGGACCGGUAAACUGGUUAAAGGAAAGGUCCAAGAACGUGAGGGUCUUGAGCUCGCUGAUGUAAUCAGGAAUCGAACCGGAGAGAUUGGUUUGCUUUAACCGGAGGAGGUCAAGAUUCUUGAGCUUGGUGAUACUGCGUGGGAUGUUUCCAGUGAGGUGGGUCAGGU